This is a long non-coding RNA of Camelus dromedarius (Arabian camel), 2019 nucleotides long. RefSeq lists it as uncharacterized. NCBI's taxonomy places the organism in Eukaryota, Metazoa, Chordata, Mammalia, Artiodactyla, Camelidae. The record is from RefSeq and is a predicted model, not a curated record. The transcript is spliced from 2 exons.
GUUAAGGCCGGGAAGAAGCAGGCAGGGUGAUGGGCGGGGCAGGACCGAGGCUGGAGGAGGUGAGUAGGCGAGAGAGCGCGGCGGAGGCUGCCUGGAUGACUGGCUGAGCUAAGCGUACAGGACUAGCUUACGUCCUCCCCAGGACGGGUCAGGGGCGGGCGAGGAUCAGCAGAUGACCCACCAGCCCUGGGCCCCAGCACACCUCAGACCACCCCUCGGUGCCCCCAGUCACCCCACCUCCUCUCCAGGAUCUCCCGGCCAUUGCUGUCUGUGUAGAAGAGUCCUUUUGUCUCCAGCGCAGUGUCAAAGCGACUAAUGACCUCCUUCCCCCAGUCAUCACUGUACCCAACAGGAUGGUAAGGUUGUAAGCCUCAUCUGAACUCCACUCUGCCCUUCCCCUGGCCCCCAGUCCCAGCCUGCACCACUCACCCUACAGGUAUUGGCCCCACUGUCCACUCCAGCUCCAGGUGCCGCUGUCCUGGGUACAGGCGGACCACCUGGGAACACCACGCUGAGAAGUUCUGGUGCACUUCCUGCACCAAGGCUGUCUGUGGGCACAUGGGGGUGGAGGGCAGGUGUAAGCACACACCUGAGCAGAGGUGAGCCCUGAAAACAUCCACCCCUGCCACUGGCUCUCCCACUGGCUCAAAUGCACAUGUGAUGUCUGGAGCUUGAGCAGCCAUUUUGGGUCAUGAGGUGGAAGCUGAAUACUGAGGAAGACAGAGCAAUAAGCUAGAAGGGGCCUAGAUGAAUAAUGAAUCACCCCACCUGCCCAGACUUUCUUUUAGAUAGAAAGAAACUUCCAUCUUGUUUUAGGCACAGUUAAUUUGGGCAACUGUUACAAUAGGUAAAACUAUGUCCAAAUACAGUGACCCAGGUAUGCAGGAGUUCACCUCAAGAGAAUCAUGUGAGGCCUGCCAUUACCUUCUCCAUUUCCUCCCUAAGAGGAAACAUCAACAAGAAGCCCCAGGAAACCCCACAAGUGUGAGCCCCUAUUCCCAACCCUGAAGCACCCUCAGAUACCCACCCUAAGUGAGAAUCACCCAAGCCCUAAGCAAGCGUGAACUCUCAAAUAUCCACCCAGAUAAAAUCCCCUCCUACCACAGAUCCUUGGUGAAAUCUUCAAGCAGUUACACAUGGUUCUCCCCAUUCAUGGGCCAAAUGGGAACACCCCACCCCCAAUUUCAAAAGCCAUGUAUACUCUUAACACUCACUACAGAUGUGAACACCUUUCUGUGUGCUUCCACAGUGUGACUGUCACACAACCAGCUAUGAAUAUCAGCCCUGUGGAAAGAUCCUCAGAAAAUUCCCCUGAAGUGUUUGCUUUCUUUUGCUGGUUUUUUGUUUUGUUUUGUUUUUUAAAUGGAAGUACUGGGAACUGAACCCAGGACCUUGUGCAUGCUAAGCAUGCACUUUACCACUGAGCUAUUUCCCUCCCCUGCCCCUUUUCCUUUGUUUGUUUGUUUCUUUCUUCUGGGGGGGGACUUGGGCUUUUAUUUUUAUUCCUUUUUUUUUUUAAUGGAGGUACUAGGGAUUGGACACAGGACCUCGUGCAUGCUGGACAUGCACCCUACCACGAAGCUAUACCUUCCCCCCUUAGCCUUCUUAUCUGUUGUAGAUGUAAAUCCUCCUCCCCACCCCAUAUAUGGCACACCACCCUCCCCACACACACCCCAACAUGUGCCAUCCCCAAAUGUCCACUCAUUAGUCUUGGCCCCUGACCUUCACAAGGUGGGUUUGAGCCCAGCCGCUCACAAGCAGUGGUUUCUGUCGGCUGGGUCUGAAGAUGUAGGCCCCUGAGGCCUGGGAGCUUUGGUUGUCACCCAUACUGGCGUUGUACCUGGGGCCAGGGCAGGUGAGAGUCAGGUAAGGGCCCCCAGCUCCACUCAUGCCCCCUCCUUGGCCUGGUGGUCCUCCCUCACCAGUAGAAGGCUUGGUGAAUGGGCAGCACGAGGUUCUGGUCCAAGUUCUCCAUCUCCACCAAGAGCCCCGUGUCAGGGUCAAACUUAGCCCUGAUGU